RNAcentral lists this ribosomal RNA (253 nucleotides) under uncultured bacterium. RNAcentral's name for it is "partial 16S ribosomal RNA". It matches the Rfam family "Bacterial small subunit ribosomal RNA", at positions 524 to 776 of the family's 1533-position model. The record is from RNAcentral.
UACAGAGGUCUCAAGCGUUGUUCGGAUUCAUUGGGCGUAAAGGGUGCGUAGGUGGUGGUGCAAGUCUGGUGUGAAAUCUCGGAGCUCAACUCCGAAAUUGCACCGGAUACUGCGUGACUCGAGGACUGUAGAGGAGAUCGGAAUUCACGGUGUAGCAGUGAAAUGCGUAGAUAUCGUGAGGAAGACCAGUUGCGAAGGCGGAUCUCUGGGCAGUUCCUGACACUGAGGCACGAAGGCCAGGGGAGCAAACGGG